CUACGAAGGGGGCUAGCGUUGUUCGGAUUUACUGGGCGUAAAGCGCACGUAGGCGGAUUGAUUAGUUAGGGGUGAAAUCCCGAGGCUCAACCUCGGAACUGCCUUUAAUACUGUCAAUCUCGAGACCGGAAGAGGUGAGUGGAACUCCUAGUGUAGAGGUGGAAUUCGUAGAUAUUAGGAAGAACACCAGUGGCGAAGGCGGCUCACUGGUCCGGUACUGACGCUGAGGUGCGAAGGCGUGGGGAGCGAACAGGAUUAGAAACCCUAGUAGUCC
RNAcentral lists this ribosomal RNA (274 nucleotides) under uncultured bacterium. RNAcentral describes it as "partial 16S ribosomal RNA". It matches the Rfam family "Bacterial small subunit ribosomal RNA", at positions 523 to 796 of the family's 1533-position model. The record is from RNAcentral.